RNAcentral lists this transfer RNA (68 nucleotides) under Ganaspini sp. ZJUH 20220007. Its description in RNAcentral is "tRNA-Gly". Lineage: Eukaryota; Metazoa; Arthropoda; Insecta; Hymenoptera; Figitidae. The record is from RNAcentral.
UAUUAUAUAGUAUAUAAAUUACAUUUUAUUUCCAAUAAAAAAAAUUAAAUUCUUUCUUAAUAUAAUAA